This 274-nucleotide ribosomal RNA is filed under the name uncultured bacterium. Its description in RNAcentral is "partial 16S ribosomal RNA". It matches the Rfam family "Bacterial small subunit ribosomal RNA", at positions 523 to 796 of the family's 1533-position model. The record is from RNAcentral.
AUACGGAGGGUGCAAGCGUUGUUCGGAAUCACUGGGCGUAAAGGGCGCGCAGGCGGUUUGGUAAGUCAGAUGCGAAAGCCCACGGCUCAACCGUGGAAGUGCAUUUGAAACUGUCAGACUUGAGUACUAGAGGGGAAAGUGGAAUUCCCGGUGUAGAGGUGAAAUUCGUAGAUAUCGGGAGGAAUACCGGUGGCGAAGGCGACUUUCUGGCUAGAUACUGACGCUGAGGCGCGAAAGCGUGGGGAGCAAACAGGAUUAGAAACCCCGGUAGUCC